AUGAAGGCUCUUAGUACUGACCUAGUCUUUAUUUGAACUUUGCUAUCAUCUUAGUGGCUAACCAUGAAGCAAAUACAUAAAUGUUAAGAAGGAUGUCACAAUUGGACUAUAAAAACCAGAGAUCCUAACUCCACCAUGCAACACAAGUCUUAGUUCUAUCCUUUCUUUUCUCUCCAAGAAUCACAAUGAGAAGCUUUUGGAAUUUGGGGAAAUUGCCUCUACUAGCAUUUGCUUUGGCAAUUUGCUUUGUAGCCAGCACUGUUGUUGCUGAUUACUCUUAUGGCUAUACUUCUCCCUCACCUUCUUACACCUCUAAGAAGUACUACAAAUCACCAUCUCCAUCCAACUAUCAUGAACCAACUCCAUACUACAAGAAACCGGAGAAACAUGCUGAACAUUCUCCAUCACACUAUUACAAGUCACCGGUGCCUUCCAAGCACGACUAUUACAAGUCCCCUACUCCUUCAAAGCAUUACUACAAAUCACCAGUAGUAGUGAAGUAUUACAAAUCACCAGUUCCUUCAAAGAAGUACUACUACAAGGCACCUUCCCAUUCAAACAAGUACUACAAGGCCCCUGCUCCUUCAAAGAAGUACUACAAGUCCCUUGCCCCUUCAAAGAACUAUUACAAGUCACCAUCUCCUGCAAAGUACUACAAAUCUCCUUCACCUGCAAAAUACUACAAGUCACCUGCUCCAUCAAAUCACUAUUAUUAUAAGUCACCAUCCCCUACAAAAUACUACAAAUCUCCAUCGCCUGCAAAAUACUACAAGUGGCCUUCACCAUCAAAUCACUAUUACUACAAGUCACCAUCUCCAACAAAAUAUUACAAGUCACCCGCUCCUUCUAAAUACUAUAAAUCUACCCCUUACUACAAGUCCCCUCCACCUCCCCCAUACUACAAAGAAUCUACCCCUUACUACAAGUCCCCUCCACCUCCCCCAUACUACAAAGAAUCUACCCCUUACUACAAGUCCCCUCCACCUCCCCCAUACUACAAAGAAUCUACCCCUUACUACAAGUCCCCUCCACCUCCCCCAUACUACAAAGAAUCUACCCCUUACUACAAGUCCCCUCCACCUCCCCCAUACUACAAAGAAUCUACCCCUUACUACAAGUCCCCUCCACCUCCCCCAUACUACAAAGAAUCUACCCCUUACUACAAGUCCCCUCCACCUCCCCCAUACUACAAAGAAUCUACCCCUUACUACAAGUCCCCUCCACCUCCCCCAUACUACAAAGAAUCUACCCCUUACUACAAGUCCCCUCCACCUCCCCCAUACUACAAAGAAUCUACCCCUUACUACAAGUCCCCUCCACCUCCCCCAUACUACAAAGAAUCUACCCCUUACUACAAGUCCCCUCCACCUCCCCCAUACUACAAAGAAUCUACCCCUUACUACAAGUCCCCUCCACCUCCCCCAUACUACAAAGAAUCUACCCCUUACUACAAGUCCCCUCCACCUCCCCCAUACUACAAAGAAUCUACCCCUUACUACAAGUCCCCUCCACCUCCCCCAUACUACAAAGAAUCUACCCCUUACUACAAGUCCCCUCCACCUCCCCCAUACUACAAAGAAUCUACCCCUUACUACAAGUCCCCUCCACCUCCCCCAUACUACAAAGAAUCUACCCCUUACUACAAGUCCCCUCCACCUCCCCCAUACUACAAAGAAUCUACCCCUUACUACAAGUCCCCUCCACCUCCCCCAUACUACAAAGAAUCUACCCCUUACUACAAGUCCCCUCCACCUCCCCCAUACUACAAAGAAUCUACCCCUUACUACAAGUCCCCUCCACCUCCCCCAUACUACAAAGAAUCUACCCCUUACUACAAGUCCCCUCCACCUCCCCCAUACUACAAAGAAUCUACCCCUUACUACAAGUCCCCUCCACCUCCCCCAUACUACAAAGAAUCUACCCCUUACUACAAGUCCCCUCCACCUCCCCCAUACUACAAAGAAUCUACCCCUUACUACAAGUCCCCUCCACCUCCCCCAUACUACAAAGAAUCUACCCCUUACUACAAGUCCCCUCCACCUCCCCCAUACUACAAAGAAUCUACCCCUUACUACAAGUCCCCUCCACCUCCCCCAUACUACAAAGAAUCUACCCCUUACUACAAGUCCCCUCCACCUCCCCCAUACUACAAAGAAUCUACCCCUUACUACAAGUCCCCUCCACCUCCCCCAUACUACAAAGAAUCUACCCCUUACUACAAGUCCCCUCCACCUCCCCCAUACUACAAAGAAUCUACCCCUUACUACAAGUCCCCUCCACCUCCCCCAUACUACAAAGAAUCUACCCCUUACUACAAGUCCCCUCCACCUCCCCCAUACUACAAAGAAUCUACCCCUUACUACAAGUCCCCUCCACCUCCCCCAUACUACAAAGAAUCUACCCCUUACUACAAGUCCCCUCCACCUCCCCCAUACUACAAAGAAUCUACCCCUUACUACAAGUCCCCUCCACCUCCCCCAUACUACAAAGAAUCUACCCCUUACUACAAGUCCCCUCCACCUCCCCCAUACUACAAAGAAUCUACCCCUUACUACAAGUCCCCUCCACCUCCCCCAUACUACAAAGAAUCUACCCCUUACUACAAGUCCCCUCCACCUCCCCCAUACUACAAAGAAUCUACCCCUUACUACAAGUCCCCUCCACCUCCCCCAUACUACAAAGAAUCUACCCCUUACUACAAGUCCCCUCCACCUCCCCCAUACUACAAAGAAUCUACCCCUUACUACAAGUCCCCUCCACCUCCCCCAUACUACAAAGAAUCUACCCCUUACUACAAGUCCCCUCCACCUCCCCCAUACUACAAAGAAUCUACCCCUUACUACAAGUCCCCUCCACCUCCCCCAUACUACAAAGAAUCUACCCCUUACUACAAGUCCCCUCCACCUCCCCCAUACUACAAAGAAUCUACCCCUUACUACAAGUCCCCUCCACCUCCCCCAUACUACAAAGAAUCUACCCCUUACUACAAGUCCCCUCCACCUCCCCCAUACUACAAAGAAUCUACCCCUUACUACAAGUCCCCUCCACCAUACUGAUAUCAAUCCGACUUAAGUAGGAAAACAUAUUUGAGGCUGAACCAAUAAAGCAGAAUGAAACUGAAGGACAGGUUCUACCCUAAAAUUCAAUUAAUCUUGCAUCAUGUGAUGUUCUCAUUGUUUUGGAUCUUUUAUUGAAAGCAAGUAGAACUAGUUGGAGUCAUUACAAAGAGGAACUGAAUGCCAUGGUAGAACAUGACGUUGUGCCCGUUAGUUGUAGUUGCAUCACAGUUCCUCCCAUCGCUAAGGGAUUCCACCACAAAAUUGACUUCUUGAUAGACAUGGCGAACUUCCGGUAGGCCCAUUGCUCCCAGGUUGAACCUGCAAUUAAAUCCAUACAUUGUAUGUGUAUUCACUGUUUUUUCUUGAACUCCAUGUUUAACAUCUAAUGUUAUGGUGUAGAUAGAGGAAGAAAGAGAAUUUCCCACCCUCUUUUUCUGGUUAUUUUAUUUUAAGAAAAAGUCAACCUUAUACUUAGUAGGAUGCCAUAACUUAGGAAUAUCCUGCCUUUUUAGUGGGUAACCAUGAAGGCUCUUAGUACUAACCUAGUCUUUAUUUGAUCUUUGCUAUCAUCUUAGUGGUUAACCAUGAAGCAAAUACAAAAAUGUUAAGAAGGAUGUCACAAUUGCAGUAUAAAAACCAGAGAUCCUAACUCAACUAUGCAACACAAGUCUUAGUUCUAUCCUUUCUUUUCUCUCCAAGAAGCACAAUGAGAAGCUUUUGGAAUUUGGGGAAAUUGCCUCUACUAGCAUUUGCUUUGGCAAUUUGCUUUGUAGCCAGCACUGUUGUUGCUGAUUACUCUUAUGGCUAUACUUCUCCCUCACCUUCUUACACCGCUAAGAAGUACUACAAAUCACCAUCUCCAUCCAACUAUCACGAACCAACUCCAUACUACAAGAAACCGGAAAAACAUGCUGAAUAUUCUCCGUCACACUAUUACAAGUCACCGGUGCCUUCCAAGCACGACUAUUACAAGUCCCCUACUCCUUCAAAGCAUUACUACAAAUCACCAGUAGUAGUGAAGUAUUACAAAUCACCAGUUCCUUCAAAGAAGUACUACUACAAGGCACCUUCCCAUUCAAACAAGUACUACAAGGCCCCUGCUCCUUCAAAGAAGUACUACAAGUCCCCUGCCCCUUCAAAGAACUAUUACAAGUCACCAUCUCCUGCAAAGUACUACAAAUCUCCUUCACCUGCAAAAUACUACAAGUCACCUGCUCCAUCAAAUCACUAUUAUUAUAAGUCACCAUCCCCUACAAAAUACUACAAAUCUCCAUCGCCUGCAAAAUACUACAAGUGGCCUUCACCAUCAAAUCACUAUUACUACAAGUCACCAUCUCCAACAAAAUAUUACAAGUCACCCGCUCCUUCUAAAUACUAUAAAUCUACCCCUUACUACAAGUCCCCUCCACCUCCCCCAUACUACAAAGAAUCUACCCCUUACUACAAGUCCCCUCCACCUCCCCCAUACUACAAAGAAUCUACCCCUUACUACAAGUCCCCUCCCCCUCCACCAUACUACAAAGAGUCUACCCCUUACUACAAGUCUCCUCCACCUCCCCCAUACUACAAAGAAUCUACCCCUUACUACAAGUCCCCUCCACCUCCCCCAUACUACAAAGAAUCUACCCCUUACUACAAGUCCCCUCCACCUCCCCCAUACUACAAAGAAUCUACCCCUUACUACAAGUCCCCUCCACCUCCCCCAUACUACAAAGAAUCUACCCCUUACUACAAGUCCCCUCCACCUCCCCCAUACUACAAAGAAUCUACCCCUUACUACAAGUCCCCUCCACCUCCCCCAUACUACAAAGAAUCUACCCCUUACUACAAGUCCCCUCCACCUCCCCCAUACUACAAAGAAUCUACCCCUUACUACAAGUCCCCUCCACCUCCCCCAUACUACAAAGAAUCUACCCCUUACUACAAGUCCCCUCCACCUCCCCCAUACUACAAAGAAUCUACCCCUUACUACAAGUCCCCUCCACCUCCCCCAUACUACAAAGAAUCUACUCCUUCCUAUAAAUCACCUCCACCUCCACCAUACUACAAAGAAUCUACUCCUUCCUAUAAAUCCCCUCCCCCUCCCCCCCACCACACCCUCCCCCUCCACCAUACUACAAAGAAUCUACUCCUUCCUAUAAAUCCCCUCCCCCUCCACCAUACUACAAAGAAUCUACUCCUUCCUAUAAAUCCCCUCCCCCUCCACCAUACUACAAAGAAUCUACACCUUCCUAUAAAUCUCCUCCACCCCCAUCAACCUACUAUUAAAAUAGUUACUAAUUCUAUCAUUUCCACCAUUUCCAUGAAUUCUAACUCCUACUUUGAGUAUCUCUAUUUCCUCAGCCAAAAUUUUAUGUAUUCUUCAAGAAGGUUUUGCUUGUUUUGUGUGUUCCUUUCUUUUAAUAAUUUGUAAUAUGCAUUGUUUGAGAUCCUCAAGAUCUCCGUCAGUUUGGUUCAUUGUAUCAAGAUUCUUUUUGAUGUAAUCUCUUGAGAGUUCCACUUUGUGUAAUACUAUCUUCUUCUUUAUCAAAUAUUGUGUUCUCUUAUUGGUUGAGUUCUUGACUUCUUUCAUUGUUCCAUAAGCAUUCACCUUAUGGACAUCUAUGCUAAACUCUUAUAUGAAGAGAAACCACAUCUGAGUAUAGUUUGGUAACUGUACUCAUUAACUUUUGAGAAAGCAAAAUUAUGUACAAUAAACAGAAUAAGAAAGAAAUAAAGAUGCAUUUAAACUAAGAAAAUGCAUCAUUUCGACAAUUCUUUUCUAAGAUAGAGAAGAGGAAAAGGCGACGUAGUCAAGGUUUAUCGACAUUUUUCUCUUUAAAGAUUACUCUUUUCAUUAUUGAUUUUUCCUUCUGCGAAGAUGUAACCAAGUUUCAGAUUUGUUAGAAAAGUAUUCUUAGUCUUAUAGGUUAAAUUAAAAACUAUAUGUGCAACUCCAACAUUAUUGCCUCCAUUAAGUUACUAAUAAAUUAACAAACAAUUCGUACGGAAAUGGGAUCCCAAUAUCAAGAGACAAAAGAUUCUUAUGAGAAAACACAAUUAAACGAGCCUCUACUUGAACCUCCAAGGAUAAAGGUACAUGAACAACCAUUUGAUCUCCAUAAAAAUCGGUAUAGAAUCCCUUGAAAACUAAUGGAUGUAAACAAAUAGCGUCCCUCCACUAAAACAGGCUGGAAUGCCUGUAUGCCUAAUCUAUGCAGAUUGGAUGCUCUAUUCAGCAAUAUAGGAUGUCCCUGCGUAACUUCUUGAUCAGUAAAAAAGAAUAAUCUUCUUAUGUAGUUAUUUUUUUUGAUAAAGGUAACUUUAUAUUCAUGUCAAAACUCAUCAGCAGAGCAUGAUGAGGUGGGAUUUGUAAUCUUCUUAUGUAGUUAUUCAUAAGUUGUUAUCCCCUUACAUCUAACUAUUAAAUAAAUAAGUUUCAUACCCCAAGAACACGAAAAGAAAUAUACUGAUAUCAAUCCGACUUAAGUAGGAAAACAUAUUUGACGAGGAGAAUGUAGAGUCUGAAUAAUGAAGACUUGGGAAAAAUUAAGACAUCAAGAUUUUUCCGAUAGAAGUUCUGGAAACCUCAGUGUAGUUGGCGUUGUUAAUGGAGAAUAUGUGACAUUUGACUCUAAUUUUCUUAGUUGCAAUUUUCUCAAUCUUUAUUCUGUGUUCUGUCAUUUGUAAAGGGGGAUUUAAAGAGUGAAGGUUUAUAUAAAGACAUUUUGGGGUUCAUAAGACUAGUUACAUACUAUUGCACAUGAACUAUUGGGAUGAGCUUGUGCAUUGAACAUUGGGAUCAUCUCAGGUGUACUUCUGGACACUUGAGGUGUAAGUAUCGCGAGACUACUAUCUCUACGUCUGUCCCAAAGUAUCUCAUCUCUAUAUGAGUCCCUGACGAGUCUCGAGUCUGCCUUCCAUCCGUGAUCCUCAGACCAAAAUGUUAUAUAAGGUGUAAUCUGGUAUGAUUAUCCACUGUUCAAUAGUAAAGUCAACUUGUAGAUUCUUCUUCUGGAAUUGCUAUUCUUUUACUUUGCCAAUGGGAUGACAGUUGUGGCAUUCCUCUUCUUAUUUUUCUUUUUUUGUUCCUAAAUUAUUUCUUCAUCAUGAAAUUUUUUUCUAAAAGAAAGAAGUCAUGGAUAAAUGCUUCCCACUAAGUACUGACUUAGUCUUUAUUUUGACUUAGGCAUCAUCUUAGUGGCUAACCAUGAAGCCAUUACAUGACUGUUAAGAAGACUAUCAAUUUGUAGUAUAAAUCUAGAGGUUCCUACUCAACUAUGCAACACAAGUCUUAGUUCUAUCCUCCUCUUCUCCAAGUUUAGUUGGUUGAAAAAGCAAAUGAGAAGCUUUGGAAAUUUGGGGCAAUGGCCUCUACUUGCAUUUGCUUUGGCAAUUUGCUUUGUAGCCAGCACUGUUGUUGCUGACUACUCUUAUGACUAUACUUCUCAUUCACCUUCUUACAAUUCUAAGAAAGACUACAAAUCACCUUCUCCAUACUACAAGAAACCGGAAAAACAUGUUGAACAUUCUCCAUCGCAUUACUAUUACAAGUCGCAUGCUCCUUCAAAACACUACUAUAAGGCACCUGUUAUUGCGAAGUAUUACCAGUCACAUGCUCCUUCAAAGCACUACUACAAGGCACCUAUUGUUACGAAGUAUUACAAGUCACACGCUCCUUCAAAGCACUACUACAAGGCACCUGUUGUUACGAAGUAUUACAAGUCACCUGCUCCUUCGAAACACUACUACAAGGCUCCAGUGGUAGUGAAGUAUUACAAGUCACCAGCUCCUUCAAAGAAUUACUACAAGGCACCUGUCCCUUCAAAGGAGUACUACAAGUCGCCAGCUCCUUCAAAGUACUACUACAAGUCGCCAUCACCUGCAAAGUACUACAAGUCGCCUGCUCCAUCAAAGCACUAUUACUACAAGUCCCCAUCCCCUUCAAAAUAUUACAACUCACCCGCUCCUUCCAAAUACUAUAAAUCACCUGCACCACAAAAAUAUUACAAGUCACCAGUUUACUACAAGUCUCCUCCCCCACCACCAACUUAUUAUGAGAAAUCACCUUCUUACUACAAGUCCCCUCCCCCUCCACCAUACUACAAAGAAUCUACCCCUUACUACAAGUCCCCUCCUCCUCCCCCAUACUACAAAGAAUCUACUCCUUACUACAAGUCCCCUCCACCUCCCCCAUACUACAAAGAAUCUACUCCUUACUACAAGUCCCCUCCACCUCCCCCAUACUACAAAGAAUCUACUCCUUACUACAAGUCCCCUCCACCUCCCCCAUACUA
This 8335-nucleotide long non-coding RNA is filed under the name Solanum tuberosum (potato). RNAcentral's name for it is "long non-coding RNA (STUB_LNC001201)". Lineage: Eukaryota; Viridiplantae; Streptophyta; Magnoliopsida; Solanales; Solanaceae. The record is from RNAcentral.